AGGACUCAGAUAUCACAUAAUAUAGAUUUAUGAAUGUUUGAAACCAAUGAACUAUUUCCACCAAUUGUUACUUCGAGAGUUGAAUAAUAAGACCGACAAUGCUGGUGCAGAUACCCAUUGCGACGGCUGCUACGUGAGGUCGAGGGACAUAGGGGAGUAGUAGCUUUUUUAGGGACUGAGAUCUAGAACAUGAGAUGUGGUAGUUAUUUCCUUUUUUAGGACGUGAGAUCUAGUAGUUUUUUUUUUGUACGUGAGAUGUAGUAGCUUUUUUGUUUUUUGUUUUGUUUUGAUGGACUUAGAUCAAGAACAUGAGAUGUGGUAGUUUUUUCCGUUUUAGGAUGUGAGAUCUAGUAGUUUUUCAAAAAGAAAUUGGAGAUAGAUAUAAGAUGCGUACAUUUUUAGUUUUUCUUAAAGGACUUGGAGAUAGAUAUAAGAUGUGUACAUAGGAUAAAUCGGAUCCACCAGGUUUACAUGUAGUUACGUGAGAUCUUGUAGUUUUUUUAAUUUAUAUUAUUUAAAGGGAUAUGUAGAAAUACACAAGGUGUGUAUGUACGUUUUUUUUAACAGCACGUAGAUGCUAAGGUUUAUUUAAAGGGACAUGUCGAAAGACAUAAGGUGUGUCGAUGCAAAAAAGAAGAAGACAUAAGGUGUGUAUUUCUUUACAUACAUUUUUUUGAACAGCACGUAGAUGCUAAGGUUUUUUUAAAGGGACGUGUAGAAAGACAUAAGGUGUGUACGUUUUUUCAACAACACGUACAGGCUAAGGAUAUCUGUAGUUUUUUUUAGAUGGAGCGCUCAUUUUUUUCUGAAUAGCACGUACAUGCUAAGGUUAAUUUAAAUGGACAUGUAGAAAGAUAUAAGGCGUGUACCCUUUUUUACACGUACAGGCUAAUGAUAGCUGUUUUUUUUAGAUGCAUGGAGCGCCCUUAGAUCUAAUCCAUUCAUUACAUCUUUUAUGUUAUUGGUCCACCAAAUCGUUAGAUUGCAUUCUACAUAUAAAAUUUAAAAAUGGCCAGAUGCUCUCACUAUUGGUUGCAGUAUUAAAAAAGCUUGAGGACUCAGAUAUCACAUAAUAUAGAUUUGUGAAUGUUUGAAACCAAUGAACUAUUUCCACCAAUUCUUACUUCGAGAGUUGUAUAAUAAGACCGACAGUGCUGGUGCAGAUGCCCAUUGCAACGGCUGCUACGUGAGGUCGAGGACAUAGGGGAGUAGUAGCUUUUUUUUUAGGGACUGAGAUCUAGAGCAUGAGAUGUGGUAGUUAUUUCCUUUUUUAGGACGUGAGAUCUAGUAGUAUUUUUUUUGUACGUGAGAUGUAGUAGCUUUUUUGUUUUUUGUUUUGUUUUGAUGGACUUAGAUCAAGAACAUGAGAUGUGGUAGUUUUUUACUUUUUUAGAACGUGAGAUCUAGUAGUUUUUUUAAAAGGACUUGGAGAUAGAUAUAAGAUGUGUACAUUUUUAGUUUUUCUUAAAGGACUUGAAGAUAGAUAUAAGAUAGGAAAACGUUUGGAGACGGUGCGCCGGCCGAAGCUUCGGCCGGUCGUGCCGCGUAGCUCACUUUAGUUUUCCUCUCCACGUGACUAGGUGAGCAUCUGGGAUCACCCACCGCCUACCUCUCCAUGUGCUGGAACCAAGAUAAUUUUUUGCUUCAUCGGUUGCAGAGCUCUCAAAUGCUCAUGUCGUUUUUGUUGGCACCUAAGUUUGUUUUUGCUAUAAGCAUUUUUUGAUUUUGCUUCAACCGACCACCGGACUUCGACUUGGGGUGAAGUUUUUUGCUGGAAGAUUUUUGUUGCUUCCAGAUUUUUUGCUGCUUGGCACUCGAACCCGGCGAGCUGGAGACGCAGAGAUGAUGCAGCCAGCCACCCUAACUGCUAGCACAUGCAUCAUCAGAAGUUUGGAUCCAGCAAAUUAUUUUGCUACCACCAUAAUUUUUUACUGGAUACAACUUCAAAUUUUGCUUCCACCAUGUUCUGUUUUAGCUGGAUCCAGCUUUUCUUUUUUGCUUCCACCAUGACGGUGGCCGGCGGAAACAACUGCGGCCGGCGGUGACGACGACGACCGGCGGGGAGGGCGGCUACAGGCGAGCGCACCGGGGCGGUACUUUCAGGCUGGGCGCAUCGCUCAUCCAUGGCAGCGCGUUGGAAGUUUUUUUUAAGGAAGAAGACGCCUGGUGAAAGAAAAGGAGAGAAUCGUACGGCUAUGGGUUGUUUAAUCGGACGCUGCUGGUACGACCGGCCCAAAGUUGGGCCGGCGCACCGGCGCCUAGUAGUGGCCUAUAAGAUAUGUACAUAGGAUAAAUCGGAUCCACCGGGUUUACAUGUAGUUAUGUGAGAUCUUCUAGUUUUUGUUUUAUUUAAAGGGACGUGUAGAAAGAUAUGAGGUGUGUACGUUUUUUUCAACAACACGUACAGGCUAAGGAUAGCUGUAGUUUUUUUAGAUGGAGCGCUUUUUUUUUGAAUAGCACGUACAUGCUAAGGUUAAUUUAAAUGGACAUGUAGAAAGAUAUAGGGCGUGUACCCUUUUUUACACGUACAGGCUAAUGAUAGUUGUUGUUUUUUUAGAUGGAGCACCCUUAGAUCUAAUCCAUUCAUUACGUCUUUUAAGUUAUGGGUCCACCAAAUCAACGAGAUCAGAUCUUUCUAAUUAUUGUGGUAAUUUCUAGUUUAUUUUUUUUUUGAUUAACCCGUCAAGCACUUUUAUUUAAAGGGACAUGUAGAAAGAUAUAAGGUGUGUACGUUUUUUUCAACAACAUGUACAGGCUAAGGAUAGCUGUAGUUUUUUUUAGAUGGGUAGAAAGAUAUAAGGCGUGUACCCUUUUUUACACGUACAGGCUAAUGAUAGCUGUUGUUUUUUUUAGAUGGAGCGCCCUUAGAUCUAAUCCAUUCAUUACGUCUUUUAAGUUAUGGGUCCACCAAAUCAACGAUCAGAUCUUUCUAAUUAUUGUGGUAAUUUCUAGUUUAUUUAUCUUUUUUCUGAUUAACCCGUCAAGCACUUUUUAUAUAUAAUAGAUAGAUAGAUAGAUGUUGGAGGGUAUAUAUAAGUGGGUGCAAUGCGUCUAUGUUUAUAAAAACCACUCCCUAGUUACAAUUUUGGUCAAAGUUUGACCUGUAAUACAUGGGAGGCUAAUAAAUUCAGACGGAGGAAGUAGUUGCUAGAAACUGGUCAGGAUUUGGAGCAUUUACGGAACAUAUCACAGGAGAUAUAUAGUCGCCAGUUAAUUUAGGGAGAACAUUUGUGUACAGAUAAGUGGUCAUUUAUUGUAUUAAUUGUAAUGGGAUUGUUUGGUCUGGCAUUAAAAUUAUCUAAAUAUUUGCCGAUUGCAAUAGAUAGCGCGCAAUUAUUAUUACGAGAAGGCAAGUUUUCAAUCCUUUAUAACCCAACCACACACACAUUAGCAGGAACAAACUACCCAGAUCGAGAAAUACUGAUCCCUCUCGUUAAGUUGGCUACCUUGUGAGCAACGAGAUUCCAUUUAUCUCUACCAAUCUUCGAAAGCCUGCCGGCCAGGAUUUUGCUUUGGGAUCUCUUCUACCGUUGGUCGUCAUUCCACUGCGCUCUUGAACUCCAAGGUCCGUUAUUCAAUCCAUAGCUGGUACUAGCAGUAGACAGUAGAGACUAGUAGUAGUAGUACAAAGGUAGAUGCCUGCAUGGUUCGUAUAGAUUUGUUGUUUUUAUGUGAGAAGUAGUAUAAGUACAGUUUAUAAGGACAUUCAUGGAGUUUUCCACCAAAAUAAAAAGAUGCAUGGAGUUUUACCAAUGGAAAAAUUGUACGAAUGGCCAUUCAGUUGGAAUUGGUCUUCUUGCGGUGCCAUUUUGUUUGUAAUAAUUAAUUCAGAGGAGCGUCAUAGCAGACCAGAGGAACAACGUUCGUUUCCACUGAUGUUAGGAGUCAAAACAUUCGGGUGGAGCUCUUUUUUGUGUGAAAGCCAGAGGAAAAGAGCGAUAAUGCUACCCUGUGAUGCAACUCUUGUUUGCCGCGGGAAGGCACUUGUAUUGCACAUGGACUUCGCAACUGCAGACUCGACCUGCAUCUUCGCGGUUACUAACUAUAGUUUCAUCAAGGAAACAGGUCUGGGCAAUUUUCAAAGGUCCCAUGCCUUCCAAGUUGGUGGGUAUGACUGGUCAGUUAGAUUCUACCCACAAGGAAUCAAUGCUGAAAGCCAAAAGCACAUCUCUAUUGUUGGUGAGCUUAUGAGCGAAAAUGCAGAAGUCAGUGCAAUAUUUUGUUAUCGAUUGAUCUCCCCAGGAGGACAAUGCACAGAGUGGACUCAAACCGGAGUGUUAAACUUAUCUAGUGCAGAAGGAAAAUAUAGGAUGGGAGGGUGGGAGGGUGGGAGAAGGUCAUGGGGAAAACUUUGCUUGAAGCAGAAUAUGUGGAAUUUGACCGCUUCUUGAUUGAAUUUUCCAUCACUGUUAUGAAAGAUCCACUGGUGACUUGCAGUGACUUAUUAUCACCCCAAGUGAAGCUGCCACCACCAGAACUGUCAAAUGAUUUUGCAGAUCUUCUAGAGUCAAAAGAAGGGGCGGACGUGACCUUCUGCGUCCAAGGUGAAACAUUUCCUGCACAUAGGGUAGUGCUCGCGGCAAGGUCACCGGUGUUUAGGGUGCAGCUCUGUGGACCAAUGAUGGAGAAAGACGGGUCAUAUGUAAUCGUGGAAGAUAUGUUACCUGACGUUUUUAGGGCUCUCAUACAUUUUGUGUACACAGACUGCUUGGUGCUUCCUUUCGACGGUUUUGAUGACGAGGACAGAAAAGAGAUUGUACGCCACUUACUCGAGGCUGCCGAUCGCUACGCAAUUGAAAAGUUGAAGCUCAUAUGUGAGGCCACUCUUUGCAGCUGUCUUGAUGUACAAACAGUGGCAACUACAUAUGCGCUAGCUGAUCAACAUCAGUGUAAUGAUCUCAAACAGGCUUGCCUCAAAUUUAUGGCAUCUCCAACAAUACUUGGUGAAGUGAUGGCGAGCCAAGACUAUGAAAACCUCAAGAGAAAGAGUUCUAGUACAGCAUUGGAGAUUUUAGAGAGCGUUUGUAAGUUCCCAAAGAUCUAGUAUGUGGGGUCUAGCUCAUCGUAGUGUGGCGACUGAUACAUCACACCUUUCCAUUAUUUUUCUACUGGUUUUCUUAGUCAUAUGUUAUGUUCAUCAUUUCUGUCGAAUUUGACUUACUCUAUUCCAAGAAAUAAUGUAUCAAUUCGUGUUA
This is a non-coding RNA of Aegilops tauschii subsp. strangulata, 5195 nucleotides long. Lineage: Eukaryota; Viridiplantae; Streptophyta; Magnoliopsida; Poales; Poaceae. The record is from RefSeq and is a predicted model, not a curated record.